GACGAACGCUGGCGGCGUGCUUAACACAUGCAAGUCGAACGGUGAAGCGCCUUCCUUUUUGGUGGGUGUGGAUGAGUGGCGAACGGGUGAGUAACACGUGAGUAACCUGCCCCCUUCUUCUGGAUAACCGCAUGAAAGUGUGGCUAAUACGGGAUAUUCUGGGUCUGUCGCAUGAUGGGUCUGGGAAAGAUAUUGUUUCGGUGGGGGAUGGGCUCGCGGCCUAUCAGCUUGUUGGUGGGGUGAUGGCCUACCAAGGCGGUGACGGGUAGCCGGCCUGAGAGGGUGGACGGUCACACUGGUACUGAGACACGGCCCAGACUCCUACGGGAGGCAGCAGUGGGGAAUAUUGCACAAUGGGCGCAAGCCUGAUGCAGCGACGCCGCGUGAGGGAUGGAGGCCUUCGGGUUGUUAACCUCUUUCGCCAGUGAAGCAGGCCUGCCUCGUUUGUGGGUGGGUUGACGGUAGCUGGAUAAGAAGCGCCGGCUAACUACGUG
Molecule: ribosomal RNA, 494 nt
Filed under: uncultured bacterium
Lineage: Bacteria
Description: partial 16S ribosomal RNA
Rfam family: Bacterial small subunit ribosomal RNA
Source: RNAcentral